Long non-coding RNA from Populus euphratica (Euphrates poplar), 115 nucleotides. RefSeq lists it as uncharacterized. NCBI's taxonomy places the organism in Eukaryota, Viridiplantae, Streptophyta, Magnoliopsida, Malpighiales, Salicaceae. The transcript is spliced from 2 exons. The record is from RefSeq and is a predicted model, not a curated record.
CCUCUGUUGCACUAUGUAUUAAAAAUCCAUGGGCUUCAUGGGUUUUGUUUUUCAGAAAGGUAGGAUGCCUUGUAUUAUGUAAAUGUUAACCCCUUCGUCAUCGAGUUUUGCGUUA